UGUAGCCCGGGCAACAGAGCGAGACUCUGUCUCAAAAAACAAAAAAAACCUUUUAAAACAAAACCUUAUAUGGCAUAGUUAGCAUUAUAAGGAGUAUCCUAUAUAUUUCUCUACAGAAAGUGGGAGAAAGUAGAACUGGCCUGGUGCCUACUAGAUGUCAGGUCCUACUGUGACUUUUAUGUGUGUUACCCUUAAGUUUUCCAAGAAGUAGUUGUCAUUAACUUUUUAUAAGUGAGAAAAAUAGGUUGAAAGUGAAUGGCUAUCCCAAGUAACACACAGUAAGUAGCAAGCAAACCAUGGAUCUAAAGUCAAUUCUUUCUGCCUCCAAAGCUCUCAGUUAUGCUGUGGUAUUUUGUGGAUGAAAUACUAGGAUUUAAAUAUAUGUUUAGGGUUUUUGUGGUGAAGCCCAAGUUGCUCUUGGACCUUGUUAAACUUGUACCAUCUGAAAUGAAAAACUGUGUCUACUCUUUUCCAGGUUUUGCUGUUACUGUUCAAUGUAAUCACACCUCCUUGAAUUAUAAAUGGAAGAGCCUCAGUGGGUCGUAGCUGGGUAGGAGAUGGGAUUCGGCAGCACUGGCUCAGAGUUAGGUCUAAUGUGCCGGAGUAGCACAGGCAGAGGCCCAUGUGCACAGACUGUGGGAGCCCCCAGGGGAAGGACCAAAGGAGGACGAGUCUGACAGCAAGCCCAGCUUCCCAAGAAGGUAUAAUGUGAGAGGCAAGUAGCUCCAGGUAUGUCCUGACCCAGCCAACUGGAAGGUAAGUUUGCUCCCUGGAGGGAGAAGAGCUGUAAGUGUGAACUACGAGCUGUGCCGGUAGACACUGUGACACUGGAGUUCACAAAGUCUUGCUGUAGAACAGCCCCGCUCUGAGCCCAGAGGAAUGUUCUCACUGCACAAGAGCAGGUGUCUUGCGUUGGGCACAUGGUAGCCCUCUGGAUGCACCAGGCAAGGCCCUGCAGAAUGCUGGAAUUACAGAUCCUCUGGCUGAGCAGAACAUGGUGACGUGAGUGGGGUGCCCGCUGAGGUGAGUCUGUGCAGCCAGCAAGGCCUGAUGCCAAGGGUUGACCUGACCAGCCACAGCAGUUGAUUCAGGUCAUGCACCCACCCUUGGGAUUCCUGGAAAUACUUGGGGACAAAGGAUUUUCCUUGAGGUGGGACUUUCUACAUGUGCAGAGGUGAGAACUCAAAGCAGUUGAGAUUUAGAUAUUAAUAUGAAACAACUUCACUUGUAAUCAUUAAGACUGAUUAAGGCUGGGAGUUAUCCUUCCUGCUGUAUUUUAAAAUAGGCAGAUGGACAGGAUUUUCAAGAUGCCCAAGAAAGUAAUCUAUUAUAGCAGUAAUAGUUUGUAUCUUCACGAAUGAAUGGUGGAGCCCCAUGUCGCCCAGGAUCUGCAGCCCGCAGAACCGCCGCCCCCCACUGCUUCUCUGGCCUCCUCACACGCCAGUCCAGCCCUGGCACCCACUGGGCAGCUCCUGUUCUCCCUGUGCCUCCAGCACAUUCUCAGGCCUCUGCACUUGCGGUUUCCCUCUGGAUCAUGCUCCUCCCGCAUCGAUAUCCUUGCACCCUGCCCUUCACUUCCUUCUGGUUUCUGUUCAAAUGUUGCUUUUUUGUGAGGCCUUCCCUGACUUCCUUAUAUAAAAGAGCAACAACUGCCCUUUGCUUUGUUGUCCCUUAAUCUGCUUUAUUUUUCCCCAAAGCACUUUGCACCAACUAAUACAUUAUACUUGUUUGUUUAUAGAGUGUAUCCUCCUCAUUAGAAUGGGAGCUCCACGAGAGCAGGAACUCCAUCUGCUAUUCACUGAUGUACCUGAGCAGCCAGAACAUUGUCUGUCACACGGGACACACUCAAUAAAUGCGUUAAUGAAUGGC
Molecule: long non-coding RNA, 1869 nt
Organism: Lemur catta (Ring-tailed lemur)
Lineage: Eukaryota; Metazoa; Chordata; Mammalia; Primates; Lemuridae
Exons: 2
Source: RefSeq, a predicted model, not a curated record